UUGGGAUCGCUUUUCCCCUUUAGACUGCAACUGCAGUAUUUCUGUGUAGCUUAGUUACUUUGCAUGAGAAAAUUCCAGCUGAUGACUUUAUCUACAAGGCACAAAAUCACAUUAUACAUCAGCUGUAAAUAUUGUGAAGUCAAACAACUUUUAUUUGAUUUAUCCACAGUAGGAGAAAAGAGAAACACAUGUCUAAAGUGAUUCUUUGGAGUUAAUAUCAGAAGUGCCAGAAGAUCAUCUAAUAUGCAGUUCAUCAUGUAGUGAUUUGAACAGCAUUUGGGAGCCUCAUGUGACUUCAUUGAAGGAACACCUAUAAACAAACACUGCUUAAAGUGUUUUGCCUAUGAGCUAACAAUGUCAGUGAUGUCUACAGAGAGCUAAAGCCACUCGAAGAAUCCACAGCAACUUCUUUUGGUCAGUGAACACAGGGUGAAAUUCAACAGAACUGCUUUACAGUGAAGGUCUUGAAGCCCACAAGAAACAUUCUUCUGGACAAAUUAUCGGGAGGUCAAGAGAAGAAUGCAUUUGCCAGACCAAUAGCUGCAUAUCAAGUGCCAGAGGAUGUGGUAAAUUGCUCAAGCAAUGAAACCGGUUCUGGUACCGGAGCUGCAAUUGGCAUCACCACCUGGGACUUUGCCAACAAUGUUGAACAGAGUGGUCUAAAGGAUGGGCUUUUGCCAUGUCACUCAGGCUGGUCUCAAACUCUUGGACUUAAGUUACCCACUUGUCUUAGCCCCCCAAAGCACUGGAAUUAG
Molecule: long non-coding RNA, 755 nt
Filed under: Callithrix jacchus (white-tufted-ear marmoset)
Lineage: Eukaryota; Metazoa; Chordata; Mammalia; Primates; Cebidae
Description: lncRNA (ENSCJAG00000059148.2)
Source: RNAcentral